RNAcentral lists this ribosomal RNA (439 nucleotides) under uncultured bacterium. RNAcentral's name for it is "partial 16S ribosomal RNA". It matches the Rfam family "Bacterial small subunit ribosomal RNA", at positions 339 to 795 of the family's 1533-position model. The record is from RNAcentral.
CUACGGGUUGCUGCAGUGGGGAAUAUUGCACAAUGGGGGAAACCCUGAUGCAGCAACGCCGCGUGGAGGAUGACGCAUUUCGGUGUGUAAACUCCUUUUAUAUAGGAAGAUAAUGACGGUACUAUAUGAAUAAGCACCGGCUAACUCCGUGCCAGCUGCCGCGGUAAUACGGAGGGUGCAAGCGUUACUCGGAAUCACUGGGCGUAAAGCGCGCGCAGGCGGCCUUUUAAGUUGGAUGUGAAAGCCUAUGGCUUAACCAUAGAACUGCAUCCAAAACUAUCAGGCUAGAGUCUGGGAGGGGAAGAUGGAAUUAGUUGUGUAGGGGUAACAUCCGUAGAGAUAACUAGGAAUACCAAAAGCGAAGGCGAUCUUCUGGAACAGUACUGACGCUGAGGCGCGAAAGCGUGGGGAGCAAACAGGAUUAGAUACCCCAGUAGUC